This 241-nucleotide unclassified non-coding RNA is filed under the name plant metagenome. RNAcentral's name for it is "partial contains small subunit ribosomal RNA, internal transcribed spacer 1, and 5.8S ribosomal RNA". The record is from RNAcentral.
UUUCCGUAGGUGAACCUGCGGAAGGAUCAUUAUUGAAUGAAACACUUCUGGCUUUAUGCUGUUGUGCUGGCCCUUUGGCCAAUGUGCACACGGCUCUGGUCACUUGUUUUUUCUGUUCCACCUGUGCACUGCCUGUAGACACGCUGUGUCUAUGAUAUUUGUUAACACACAACAAUGUUAGUUGGCAUGUUAUAUAUAAUAAUAAAAUAUACAACUUUCAACAACGGAUCUCUUGGCUCUC